GACGAACGCUGGCGGCGUGCUUAACACAUGCAAGUCGAACGGAAAGGCCCUGCUUUUGUUGGGUGCUCGAGUGGCGAACGGGUGAGUAACACGUGAGUAACCUGCCCUUGACUUUGGGAUAACUUCAGGAAACUGGGGCUAAUACCGGAUAGGAGCUCCUGCUGCAUGGUGGGGGUUGGAAAGGUUCGGCGGUUGGGGAUGGACUCGCGGCUUAUCAGCUUGUUGGUGGGGUAGUGGCUUACCAAGGCUUUGACGGGUAGCCGGCCUGAGAGGGUGACCGGGCACAGUGGGACUGAGAUACGGCCCAGACUCCUACGGGAGGCAGCAGUGGAGAAUAUUGCACAAUGGGCGGAAGCCUGAUGCAGCAACGCCGCGUGCGGGAUGACUGCCUUCGGGUUGUAAACCGCUUUCGCCUGUAACGAAGCGUGAGUGACGGUAAUUGGUAAGAAAGCACCGGCUAACUACGUG
This 468-nucleotide ribosomal RNA is filed under the name uncultured bacterium. RNAcentral describes it as "partial 16S ribosomal RNA". It matches the Rfam family "Bacterial small subunit ribosomal RNA", at positions 28 to 507 of the family's 1533-position model. The record is from RNAcentral.